UACGAAGGGGGCUAGCGUUGUUCGGAAUUACUGGGCGUAAAGCGCGCGUAGGCGGAUCGCUAAGUCAGGGGUGAAAUCCCAGGGCUCAACCCUGGAACUGCCUUUGAUACUGACGAUCUGGAGAUCGGGAGAGGUUGGUGGAAUUCCGAGUGUAGAGGUGAAAUUCGUAGAUAUUCGGAAGAACACCAGUGGCGAAGGCGGCUCACUGGCCCAUUACCGACGCUCAGGCGCGAUAGCGUGGGGAGCAAACAGG
This 253-nucleotide ribosomal RNA is filed under the name uncultured bacterium. Its description in RNAcentral is "partial 16S ribosomal RNA". It matches the Rfam family "Bacterial small subunit ribosomal RNA", at positions 524 to 776 of the family's 1533-position model. The record is from RNAcentral.